Molecule: ribosomal RNA, 452 nt
Filed under: Araneidae sp. F MG-2015
Lineage: Eukaryota; Metazoa; Arthropoda; Arachnida; Araneae; Araneidae
Description: partial 16S ribosomal RNA
Rfam family: Bacterial large subunit ribosomal RNA
Source: RNAcentral
CAUUUCUUAUUGAUCUAAUAAUAAGUACCGCCUGCUCAAUGAAUCGAUUAAAUAGCCGCGGAAAUUUUACCGUGCUAAGGUAGCAUAAUCAUUAGCCUCUUAAUUAGAGGCUGGUAUGAAUGACGAAACAUUUCAACUACUUUAUUAACUUAUUUAUUUUAAAUUAAAUUAAGAAUAAAAAUGUUCUUAUUUUAUAAAUAGACGAUAAGACCCUUUUGAACUUUACUCUAGUUUAGCUGGGGCAGCUAAAAAAUAAUGACCUUUUUCUUAAAAGAAUUAAAUAAAAGAUCCAAUUCUAUUGAUUAUCUGAUCAAGUUACCAUAGGGAUAACAGCGUAAUCUCUUUCUAAAGCUCUUAUUUAAAAAGAAAUUUGCGACCUCGAUGUUGAAUUAAUGUCACUUUAAAAAAGAAGAAAUUUAUAAAGUAAGUCUGUUCGACUUUUAAAACAUUAC